GGUGGCUCAGUGGUAGGGCGCUUGCCUUGCAUGCAAGAGGCCCUGGGUUCAAUUCCUCAGCACCA
Molecule: transfer RNA, 65 nt
Filed under: Dipodomys ordii (Ord's kangaroo rat)
Lineage: Eukaryota; Metazoa; Chordata; Mammalia; Rodentia; Heteromyidae
Rfam family: tRNA
About the family: Transfer RNA (tRNA) molecules are approximately 80 nucleotides in length. Their secondary structure includes four short double-helical elements and three loops (D, anti-codon, and T loops).
Source: Rfam by way of RNAcentral